Molecule: ribosomal RNA, 467 nt
Filed under: uncultured bacterium
Lineage: Bacteria
Description: partial 16S ribosomal RNA
Rfam family: Bacterial small subunit ribosomal RNA
Source: RNAcentral
GACGAACGCUGGCGGCGUGCUUAACACAUGCGAGUCGAACGGAAAGGCUCCAGCUUGCUGGAGUACUCGAGUGGCGAACGGGUGAGUAACACGUGGGUAAUCUGCCCUGCACUCUGGGAUAAGCCUGGGAAACUGGGUCUAAUACUGGAUAUGACCUUCCGCCUUAUGGGGUUUGGUGGAAAGUUUUUCGGUGUAGGAUGGGCCCGCGGCCUAUCAGCUUGUUGGUGGGGUGAUGGCCUACCAAGGCGACGACGGGUAGCCGGCCUGAGAGGGGGAUCGGCCACAUUGGGACUGAGAUACGGCCCAGACUCCUACGGGAGGCAGCAGUGGGGAAUAUUGCACAAUGGGCGGAAGCCUGAUGCAGCGACGCCGCGUGAGGGAUGACGGCCUUCGGGUUGUAAACCUCUUUCGGCUGGGACGAAGCGUAAGUGACGGUACCUGCAGAAGAAGCACCGGCUAACUAUGUG